UACAGAGGGUGCGAGCGUUAAUCGGAUUUACUGGGCGUAAGGCGUGCGUAGGCGGCUUUUUAAGUCGGAUGUGAAAUCCCCGAGCUUAACUUGGGAAUUGCAUUCGAUACUGGGAAGCUAGAGUAUGGGAGAGGAUGGUAGAACUCCAGGUGUAGCGGUGAAAUGCGUAGAGAUCUGGAGGAAUACCGAUGGCGAAGGCAGCCAUCUGGCCUAAUACUGACGCUGAGGUACGAAAGCGUGGGUCGCGAAUGGG
Molecule: unclassified non-coding RNA, 253 nt
Filed under: uncultured bacterium
Lineage: Bacteria
Description: contains 16S-23S intergenic spacer region
Rfam family: Bacterial small subunit ribosomal RNA
Source: RNAcentral